RNAcentral lists this ribosomal RNA (452 nucleotides) under uncultured bacterium. RNAcentral's name for it is "bacterial SSU rRNA". It matches the Rfam family "Bacterial small subunit ribosomal RNA", at positions 29 to 526 of the family's 1533-position model. The record is from RNAcentral.
AACGAACGCUGGCGGCAGGCUUAACACAUGCAAGUCGAACGCAUCCUUCGGGGUGAGUGGCAGACGGGUGAGUAACGCGUGGGAACGUGCCCUUCAGUUCGGGAUAACCCAGGGAAACUUGGGCUAAUACCGGAUACGUGCGAGAGCAGAAAGAUUUAUCGCUGAAGGAUCGGCCCGCGUCUGAUUAGCUAGUUGGUGAGGUAACGGCUCACCAAGGCGACGAUCAGUAGCUGGUCUGAGAGGAUGAUCAGCCUCACUGGGACUGAGACACGGCCCAGACUCCUACGGGAGGCAGCAGUGGGGAAUAUUGGACAAUGGGCGCAAGCCUGAUCCAGCCAUGCCGCGUGGAUGAUGAAGGCCUUAGGGUUGUAAAGUCCUUUCGGCGGGGAAGAUAAUGACGGUACCCGCAGAAGAAGCCCCGGCUAACUUCGUGCCAGCCGCCGCGGUAACAC